CCCUAUUCUCAAUUGAAAGAUCUUUUUCGCCAUCUCAUAUCACAUAAUGAAUGUGACCUACCGAAUUAGACUAUUUACCGGGUUUGUAAUAACAUGAACAACACGACGGGUGCCACAUCUGGAGCAGGAUCUGCUUGGUCUUCCAGAGCACAUGAGAUCAACCCAAGUUUUUGGUGGGGUUUGUGUUGCUGAGUCUUAAGUUUUCUUUGUUGUUUCUUGUGUACAAUUACUUGUCUGUUUGAUUAUUUUAGCCAUGGUGAUGUCAGUUUAUUUUCGAUUUUUGAGUUUGACUGUUCCUCUGGAAUCUUUCGCCCCUCUUUUUUUAACACAACUUUUUUCUUUAAAAAAGAGAGUCGUAGAUAUAAAUUUCUUG
Molecule: long non-coding RNA, 373 nt
Filed under: Mytilus galloprovincialis (Mediterranean mussel)
Lineage: Eukaryota; Metazoa; Mollusca; Bivalvia; Mytilida; Mytilidae
Source: RNAcentral